Molecule: long non-coding RNA, 1122 nt
Filed under: Homo sapiens (human)
Lineage: Eukaryota; Metazoa; Chordata; Mammalia; Primates; Hominidae
Description: HSALNT0404035
Source: RNAcentral
GCUGCAGUGAGCCGAGAUCGCACCACUGUGCUGCAGCCUGGGCAACAGAGUGAGAACAAAACCCCAGCUCUAGGUGUGCCCUCGGCCCCUCCAGGCAGCCUGUGUCCUCUCCCCAGGAUUUAAGAUCAUGCCGCUCUUGUUUUGGGCUUUUUCAGGACAGUUAACUCUUAGGAAGAAGGGACCUCCAAACCUCUAAGUCGCCAAACCACCGCACCGCCCUGGGUGGAAGAAACCGCUUCGGCAGCAGAGGAAACAGCAGCUUCGCAGAGCAGCCUGGCCCGAGUGGCUACACCGGGUCUGUCUGGUCUCAGCUCUGGCCUCUGAGUCAUUAGCGUUGUUUUCUUCUGAGGCCAGGGCUUCAGAUUAGUCAGGGGCUCCUGUUUCCUGGCUGAUAAAGCAGGUGGAAGAAACACAAUCUGGCCGCCUAGAGGCUGCGUGAAGCUCGUGACCCUGCGGGGUGACUAACGGAGCUCAGCUGGGUGGGACCAGAAACCACGUCUGGGCACUCCUGAGUCACAGGCUCAGAAGCUUUCGCCUCCGCCUUCAGACUGGCCCUCAGGCUUCCCUGCUCAGAGGCAGGGAAUUGUGCAGCUGGAGUUUCAUUUUCCAAGAGGCAGGGUCUCAGUCUGUCACCCAGGCUGGAGUACAGUGGCACCAUCUUGGCUCACUCUAGCCUCGACCUCCUGGGCUCAAGUGAGCCUCCUACCUCAGUCUCCCAAAAUGCUGGGAUUACAAGCAUGAACCACUGUGACUUGCCUUCUUGGCAAUUUUAAAUGAAAGAAGAAGAUGGAAUAAUGCCUACUGAGGACUAUGUUUGAGGGGUGUUGUAUGACCCCGUUUUCCAUACCCAGCCAACUUGUCAUGUGACAAGUCCACAGAAAGAUGUUAUAUGACAGGAAUCUAUGAACUAGUCUUCCCUGAAAUGUACCUGACUACAGCUAACAUCAUAUCACAUGAUGAAAGACCGCGUUGUUUUCCCCUGAGGUUGGCAGGACUCCUACUUGUCAGAUGCUCCACCUCCUACAGAGAAGUUCUGUGUCCUUCGUCUUCUGGUGCAUGGUUCCCUUUUAUUUGUGUUGUAAUCUUUGUUAUGCUCUAGAUUGUUUUCUCUGCUGUAUAUUC